Molecule: long non-coding RNA, 537 nt
Organism: Cyanistes caeruleus (blue tit)
Lineage: Eukaryota; Metazoa; Chordata; Aves; Passeriformes; Paridae
Source: Ensembl
GCUUUAUCCUGCUAAAUUGCCUUCCUGCCUCUACCCUGAGCCUGUGUCCUCCCUGCAGGCUGAGUGCUGGGGGCCAUUCCCUGUGAUGAAGAGGAUGCUGCCCUGUGCCUGCCUCCUUGUCUCUCCCCCUGUGCUGAGCACACCACUUGUGAUGAUCCAGAAAGAAAACUCUUUUGGGCCAGUCUAGUGGAACAAACAGACCUGUGCACACCAGCACAGUCCCACCACCUCCAAAGCGAUUUGUCCUUCUCACUGAAGCACCCAGUGCUGCCCAGGAGCAGACUCAGGAGUGUGUUUUGGACAGCAACUUAACAAUAAAGCAGAAUCUUCAGGGAAGAAUUCUCUCCAAAUCAGCUUGUGAUCUGGAUUCAAGAGUGAUUCUAGGAAGCUUCGCAGCUGCUGUGCCAUCAGUCAGAGACAAUCAACCCUGCUGUGAACAUUCUGCAGCCCAAUGAGCAAGACUUCAUUCUCUGCUGAGAGCAAGGUGCUGGAUUUGAAUGCAGAUUCUCCACGUCAGGCCAGGCAAGGCUCUGCUUU